Molecule: ribosomal RNA, 520 nt
Filed under: uncultured bacterium
Lineage: Bacteria
Description: bacterial SSU rRNA
Rfam family: Bacterial small subunit ribosomal RNA
Source: RNAcentral
AGAGUUUGAUCAUGGCUCAGAUUGAACGCUGGCGGCAUGCUUUACACAUGCAAGUCGAACGGUAACAGGCCUUCGGGCGCUGACGAGUGGCGAACGGGUGAGUAAUGCAUCGGAACGUGCCCAGUCGUGGGGGAUAACUACUCGAAAGAGUGGCUAAUACCGCAUACGAUCUGCGGAUGAAAGCGGGGGACCUUCGGGCCUCGCGCGAUUGGAGCGGCCGAUGUCAGAUUAGGUAGUUGGUGGGGUAAAGGCUCACCAAGCCAACGAUCUGUAGCUGGUCUGAGAGGACGACCAGCCACACUGGGACUGAGACACGGCCCAGACUCCUACGGGAGGUAGCAGUGGGGAAUUUUGGACAAUGGGCGCAAGCCUGAUCCAGCAAUGCCGCGUGCAGGAAGAAGGCCUUCGGGUUGUAAACUGCUUUUGUACGGAACGAAACGGUCCUGGCUAAUACCCGGGGCUAAUGACGGUACCGUAAGAAUAAGCACCGGCUAACUACGUGCCAGCAGCCGCGGUAAUA